Molecule: long non-coding RNA, 1571 nt
Filed under: Pelobates cultripes (western spadefoot toad)
Lineage: Eukaryota; Metazoa; Chordata; Amphibia; Anura; Pelobatidae
Source: RNAcentral
UUACAUGCUAGAGGGAGUGGGGUAAAAUGACACAAAAGGUAAGGAUAGUAUUAGACUAAUGAAAGUUGCAAGAGAGGAAUCAGCCGGGAGCUAUUGACAGUUUAAUUGAUACGCUUUUAUGAAGAAGUGGGUUUUUAAUUAUUUUUUUGAAGGAGUGGAGACUAGGUGAGCAUCUAACGGAGGAGGAAAGUGAGUUACACAAAAACAGUGCUGACAGAAGGGUGAGGCGUGGGAGGUGCGGGCGGACAGAAAGAUGAGCCUCACGCCACAUUCAUUAUGGACUGUAACGGUGCAAGUUGGGAGCACAUAAGACCAUUGAGAAGCGCAUUAUGUAGGGUACAUAUCUGGCGUUAUGUAGGGUCAGAUGUGCGCAAUGUUUUUGAGAUGGAAGCGACAGGAUUUGGCGAUAGACUGAACAUGAGGCGUGAAGGAGAGGUCGGAGUCAAAGAGAACACCCAGGCAGCGAGCCUGCGUGGUGGAGCUGAUGGUAGCACCAUUGACUUGCAUAAACAACUCUUUCAAGGAUCUUGGAUGCAAAAGGCAGUAGCAAGAUAGGACGGUAGCUGGAUGGGGAGUUAGGGUCAAGGUUGGGUUUCUUUAGAAUUGGGGUUACAGUUGCAUGUUUGAAGGGCGAUGGAAAUAUGCCAGAGGAGAGAGAGAUUGAGAAUUUUAGUGAGAGGUAGAGAAAGAAAAAGAGAGUAUGGAUGAGAUGCGAUGGAAUUGGAUCUAGGGAGCAGGUGGGGCGGGAGGACUGGAGCAGAGCAGAAACCUCUUCCGCUGUAGUGGGUGCGAAUGAACAUAGAACAGCAGAGGGAGUGAUGUUAGGGGAAGUAUUGUAAGAGGAAGAAGAAAGAUGAGAGGAGAUCUCUUCCCUGAUUGUAGAGAUCUUGUCAGUUAAGUGAGUUGCAAAGUCUGAGACGGUCAAGUUAGUAGGAGGAGGAGGAACAAUAGGGCGAAGAAGAGAGUUAAAUGUGUGAAAUAGUCGUUUGGGUUCGUGGGAGAGUAUGGUUAUGAGCGUAUUGAAGUAAUUUACUUUAGCAGAGGAAAGAGCCAAGCUGCAUGAGCGCAGCAUAAAUUUAUAGUGGAGAAAGUCAGACGCACAGUGAGACUUUCUCCAACAGCGUUCAGCAGUUCUGGAGCAUUUUUGGAGGUAUUGAGUCAGCUUGAUGUGCCAAGGUUGUUGUUGGGGACGUUUGCUUCGUUUAAAUGUAGGAGGUACCAUGAUGUCUAGUUGAGAGGAGAGAGUGGAAUUGUAGGAGGUUGCAGAGCUAGGACAGGUGAGGUUUGAGAUAGGUAAAAGGGGAGUUUGGAGAUUAGUGGAGAAAUGCUCUAGGUAAAGACAUUGGAGGUUUCUGUGAGAUUGAUGUUCAGACGGUGGUGUCAAUUGGGUCUAAGGUAUGCUGAUUUCAAAAGUCAGCAGAUGGUGGUCAGAUAGAGGAAAAUAAAUAAUGGAGAGAUUAGAGGUGGUACAGAGAUUGAUAAAGGCUAGAUCAAGAGUGUUUUCCGCUGUAUGGGUUGCUAAAUUGGACCAUUACAAAAGGCCAAAGGAGGAGGUUACAGAGAGCAGACGA